Molecule: long non-coding RNA, 632 nt
Organism: Arabidopsis lyrata subsp. lyrata
Lineage: Eukaryota; Viridiplantae; Streptophyta; Magnoliopsida; Brassicales; Brassicaceae
Exons: 2
Source: RefSeq, a predicted model, not a curated record
GUUCUUUUGGUUUUAGGUUCCUAAAGAACAUGUCUUUGUUCAAGGUGACUAUACUCAUAACUCGAGAGACUCAAGAAACUUUGGUCAUGUACCUUAAGGUCUUAUUCAAGGCAGAGUGCUUUGGAGGGUUUGGCCAUUUCAAGAUUUUGGACCUCUUGGACCAACCCCAACUUAGCAUAUGAGUUAGCUUUGUCCUUAGGCCGAUGAGAUGACUGUGGCGGAUUGAUAGUGUGGUUUAUGCCGAGUGAGUCUAGUUAAUGACCAACUGAUUAUAUAAUGGAGUCAUUGGAAGAUGCAAAAACUGUAUGAGAUAGAUACGUUUAGUUCUCUCUUCGAUCUGAAAAUAUCGAUACCACUUGAAAUUUAAGAUCAACUGGAAAUUUCUUUAAUACCACUUGAAAUCUAAUAUCAAUAUUUCUUUAAUACCACUUGAAAUCUAAGAUCAACUGGAAAUUAUCUCACCAUGGAUGAGAUGCAGGAUCAUCAUACCAUCCACGAAGAUGGGAGAAUCUAAUCGCUCACGAAAAGUGAGUAUUUAGUUCAUAGCAAGUAACAUUAUGUAUUGGUCUGCAUUGUAUGUGAGAGUGUCCUCUAUAUCAAAUUUUAAGCAAAGAUCGAAUGUUCUGUAUGAA